This 253-nucleotide ribosomal RNA is filed under the name uncultured bacterium. RNAcentral describes it as "partial 16S ribosomal RNA". It matches the Rfam family "Bacterial small subunit ribosomal RNA", at positions 524 to 776 of the family's 1533-position model. The record is from RNAcentral.
UACGGGGGGGGCAAGCGUUGUUCGGAAUUACUGGGCGUAAAGGGCUCGUAGGUGGCCAACUAAGUCAUACGUGAAAUCCCUCGGCUUAACCGGGGAACGGCGUCUGAUACUGGAUGGCUUGAGUUUGGGAGAGGGAUGCGGAAUUCCAGGUGUAGCGGUGAAAUGCGUAGAUAUCUGGAGGAACACCGGUGGCGAAGGCGGCAUCCUGGACCAAUAUUGACGCUGAGGAGCGAAAGCUAGGGGAGCAAACGGG